RNAcentral lists this ribosomal RNA (336 nucleotides) under uncultured cyanobacterium. RNAcentral describes it as "bacterial SSU rRNA". It matches the Rfam family "Bacterial small subunit ribosomal RNA", at positions 460 to 795 of the family's 1533-position model. Lineage: Bacteria; Bacillati; Cyanobacteriota. The record is from RNAcentral.
GGAAAAGCAAUGACGGUACCUGAGGAAUCAGCAUCGGCUAACUCCGUGCCAGCAGCCGCGGUAAUACGGAGGAUGCAAGCGUUAUCCGGAAUAAUUGGGCGUAAAGCGUCCGCAGGUGGGAGUUCAAGUCGAUUGUCAAAGGCAGUAGCUUAACUACUGACAGGCAGUGGAAACUGAAAGACUAGAGUGAGGUAGGGGUAGAGGGAAUUCCCGGUGUAGCGGUGAAAUGCGUAGAGCUCGGGAAGAACACCAGUGGCGAAAGCGCUCUGCUGGACCUUAACUGACACUGAGGGACGAAAGCUAGGGGAGCGAAUGGGAUUAGAUACCCCAGUAGUC